Molecule: transfer RNA, 77 nt
Filed under: Candidatus Wirthbacteria bacterium CG2_30_54_11
Lineage: Bacteria; Candidatus Wirthbacteria
Description: tRNA-Val
Rfam family: tRNA
About the family: Transfer RNA (tRNA) molecules are approximately 80 nucleotides in length. Their secondary structure includes four short double-helical elements and three loops (D, anti-codon, and T loops). Further hydrogen bonds mediate the characteristic L-shaped molecular structure. tRNAs have two regions of fundamental functional importance: the anti-codon, which is responsible for specific mRNA codon recognition, and the 3' end, to which the tRNAs corresponding amino acid is attached (by aminoacyl-tRNA synthetases). tRNAs cope with the degeneracy of the genetic code in two manners: having more than one tRNA (with a specific anti-codon) for a particular amino acid; and 'wobble' base-pairing, i.e. permitting non-standard base-pairing at the 3rd anti-codon position.
Source: RNAcentral
GGGCUGUUAGCUCAGUUGGUUAGAGCGCCUGCUUUACACGCAGGAGGUCGCGGGUUCGAGCCCCUCACAGCCCACCA